UUGCCGUUUGCAAACAGUCAAAUUACCUUCAAGUGCAAGGAGUUAAUUUUUAUGUGUACCUCGAAAAUUAGUUUUAGAACGCAAACCUUGCUGUACAAGACAGGAUAUUGUUUGCUAAGGGUUGAUAGUUUCUGAGGAAUUAGCACCAGAAGUGAUCAACACCAGAAGCUCGAUACCUGAUUUAUGUACGAAACGUUCUCGAACGGUUUCCAAGUACAAAAAGGCUAUCCAGGAAGAGAAGCAAACAAAGAAAAUGAUUUUCGCGAAACAUAUGCCGCGGUCGGUUACCGUGGCAAUGCUCGCUCGUACGUGUACGCGAAAGUUCUGUCGAAACGACGCCUUAGUCAUCGUCCUUUUCCGGAGGAUAUAGGUAUAUAUAUUCGAUAAUACUAAUCCGCGGCUCGUACCGGCGCUGCUUUUGCUUUCUUGCAGCGCAGUGACCUGAUUCCUUGCGUGCAACGGUAAGAGUGUUUCCAGAGACUGGCGGAGGGAGAUGGAAAGAGAGAGUUACUAGAACGAGAGGACGUAACAGAAGGACCGUAAGCGAGAAAGAGAAGAGAAUAAACGAGACGAGAGGGAACGAGCGCGCCUCGUGACACGUAAUACCCGUCACGGUAAUAGCGGAAAGUGAAACUCUCGGAAACCAGGUCACACCCACAUCGUGCUCGCAGCAGUGAACCGCGAUGCCGAUCUACGAGUCUCCCCGUUUAACUCUGGGCCGCAUACUUCUCUUUUCGUCCGAACACACAGCGAACACGACUGCGCGAAGCAGGAUAGAGAACCUUUUAAUCAGAGGAUACUUCAACUACUGGCACGACCACGUUUUCAUGUGUCCCGGAAUCGACUUCAUCCCUCAUCGUCCGUCUUCGGGACCUGAUAAAGAAUCAACUUACUGCGCAACGAUGACUUACAACGAGGCGCGAUACAAGGGAAGUGACUAAAUCCUUUGUUUCUUCGUAAAAUUGGAUUGAUGGAAUGUUAAAUAAAAUAUAGUAUUCGAA
Megachile rotundata (alfalfa leafcutting bee) is the source of this 1001-nucleotide long non-coding RNA. The record is from RefSeq and is a predicted model, not a curated record. NCBI's taxonomy places the organism in Eukaryota, Metazoa, Arthropoda, Insecta, Hymenoptera, Megachilidae.